CAGGGCACUCUGCAUACGAGGCUAACAAACCGCUUAAACAGGAGAUGGUCACAGGCUCGGGAAAGCUUUCCUCCCGCCCUCUUUGUGGUCACACAAAACAGUCAAUUACUUCCGUCUGAAACAGAGGCCAGGUCUGUUCUCAAAAACCACGCUCUGGAGGAGGUAUAGGAAUAUCCGAUGGUUACUUGAGCUAGUUCAGGUGGCUUAGAGAAGGGCAAAAUGGUUCCUUUACAGACUAGAAAAAUCACUUUAACAAAGAACAAACGUCUCCGGGGGAAGAUCAUACAGAACCUCAGAAAAUUGAGGACAAAAUCACAGAACACCAGAUACCAAGGCAGGUUCCAGAAUACUAGUGGUCUAAGAGAACGGAUAAGAGUCAUGGUCACUAGAAGUGGAAUGGUCCAAAAAGCCUCAGAAAGUACAGGAUUGAAAGAAUGAGACAACCAAAUAUUAACUUCUGGAUAACUUCCAACUCUCUAUCCACCAACCCACCCCCCCAAUGCCCACCUCACCCCACCCCAUCUCUUUAGGGAUAAGUCAGUCUCCUAGCAUUUGACUGAUGGUACAAGAGUCAGUUUUUUGUUUUUGUUUUUGUUUUUUUUAACUUUUUAUUAAGAUUAUGAUAGUUUACAACCUUGUGAA
Non-coding RNA from Equus caballus (horse), 642 nucleotides. NCBI's taxonomy places the organism in Eukaryota, Metazoa, Chordata, Mammalia, Perissodactyla, Equidae. The record is from RefSeq and is a predicted model, not a curated record.